UUCAUGCAUGACUGUAAGUUGCUUUGGAUAAAAGUUUCUGCUAAAUUGUUUAUA
Non-coding RNA from Salmo salar (Atlantic salmon), 54 nucleotides. The record is from Rfam. NCBI's taxonomy places the organism in Eukaryota, Metazoa, Chordata, Actinopteri, Salmoniformes, Salmonidae.